AUUUUGCGUUAGUGAUGGUAGCGACAUCCUUUACUUGCUUCUUUUAAGCAAGUAAAGAUACAGUGGACAGCGCGGGAAACG
RNAcentral lists this small RNA (81 nucleotides) under Flavobacterium sp. 120. RNAcentral's name for it is "Flavo-1 RNA". It matches the Rfam family "Flavo-1 RNA". The record is from RNAcentral. Lineage: Bacteria; Pseudomonadati; Bacteroidota; Flavobacteriia; Flavobacteriales; Flavobacteriaceae.